Molecule: non-coding RNA, 988 nt
Organism: Solanum lycopersicum (tomato)
Lineage: Eukaryota; Viridiplantae; Streptophyta; Magnoliopsida; Solanales; Solanaceae
Source: RefSeq, a predicted model, not a curated record
GAAGGUUUUUUUUUUUGGGGGGGGGGGUGAGGGUUUCUUGAGAAAUUCUGAGAGUUAAAAAGUUGAAGAAAAACAAUUUUGUUUGGUUUCUUCAAUAGAAAAUUAGACAAAUUUUGAGUUGACAGUUUUGGUUUCUUUUUUCUUUGUUUUGAUCAUUUUUAGCGACAGAAGGAGGAUUCUAGGAUAUUUUUUGAGUUACAAUCGUUUUUCUUUUGGCAAAUAGUCGUGAUAUAUGCAAAAUACUUUGAGAAAAUGAAGAGGUAGUCACUUGGCCUUUGUUUUCCGUCCUUCUGUCGCUAGCGUUUCCAUACUUUAGUCGAGUUUUGGGAUUUUAUUCGGGGUCCUCCGUCUGCUGCUCGGAUCCUGUUUGUGGGUUAGAAGUUGAUCGUCUUGAGCUCGAUAUCUUGCUCAAACUUUAAACUAUUGCUUGUGUUCUUAUGUUUUGUGGUGGAUUUCUCGCUCUUCAGCUCAUUCACUCUCGUUCGCUUCCCCGAAGUAAGUAUAUAAUCGGCCUUGAGUUCGCCAGGAACUCGAUUCUUUCCUUGCAUCUCGGAGAGCUUUAAAGGCUCAAAUUUCUUCAUUCGAGUCAAUCCAAAAGUUCGGUGGACAAAUUUUUGAAGCCAAACUAGCAUGAGGAUUUGAAGGAAAUUGAACAAGAUCGAAGGAAGAAAGGCUCAAGUUUCUUCAUUCGAGUCCAUCCAAAAGUUCGGUGGACAGAUUUUUGAAGCCGAGAACUAGCAUGAGGAUUUGAAGGAAAUUGAACAAGAUAGAAGGAAUAGAAGAAUCUGGGUCAAAAGCUCAUAUUUGAUCUUAUAUUUGCUUUUGUUGUAUUUCAUUUUCUUUGGGCCUAAGCCUUGUAAAGUUUUCUUUAUUAUUAUGCUACAACUUAUGACAAGUACAAAUGAAGUGGGCCGAAGUCCCAAAACAGGUGGGUCCAAAUAUCGAUCCAGGUGGACAAAAAAUUCAGAUUUGGACCCAAUUCUCUUUC